Molecule: long non-coding RNA, 5991 nt
Filed under: Podarcis lilfordi (Lilford's wall lizard)
Lineage: Eukaryota; Metazoa; Chordata; Lepidosauria; Squamata; Lacertidae
Source: RNAcentral
AUUCCAUCUAGUUAGCACACUUGCCUGCCCCUGCUGUAGUGGGGUCCCCCCCCCCCAGCACUAAAAUUAUGCAUCCGCUUCACUUGCCAAAGCAAUGGACCCUUCUGUCAGUAAUAGGUUCCAUGAUCAUUUAGAGUGUGGUAGAAGGGGUAAACAGCUAAAGUGCUACAGCUGUUCUUAGAAGAGCCUCUGGCUAAAUUAACAAUUUGUGUUGCAAAAAUGUUUAUAAUUUAAUUUCUUUAAAACAGGUUUAGGUCACCUUAAAAGAUGGAAACCCUCUCAAAGUGAUAAAAACAAGGUAAAAUCAAAUACAAGGUAAAAUCAAAUACAGUACAGUCACAGUCUGAAAAUACAUAAUAAAGGCCAGCAGUAGUUAAAAAACAACAACAAUACCCAUCUGACCCAAAAUUACACAUAUUGAACCAGCUACUGAACCAUGAAACAGCCAAAGGAAAUAUCUCAUGUAAAAGCCAGGUCUUUAAUGUGCUCCAAAAAGCCUGUAACAAUUAAGUCUUCCCAGUGGCGAUGUAUACCAGCAGUGCGGGGCCACUGCAGAAGAGGCUCUCUCCUAGGAAGGGUGGUUGGUGACCAUAACAUGUAGGCAGGCUGUUAUGAAUGAAGGUGGUCCUUUGGUUGACUCAGCCCCAAACUUUUUUAAUGCUUUAAAAAUUAAAAACAGCACUUUAAAUUGGGAUCAGAAAUGCACAGGCAGCCAGUUCAGCUGUUGCCAUGUGUCACCUGAAUUGACCACCUGGCUUCCACCAGAACUUGAGUAGUUACAUUUUGCAGUAGCUGAAGUUUCUGAACUCUCUGCAAAUGCAAUCCUACAAACAACACAGAUGCAACUAGUACACAUAUCUAGAUGGGCUGCUGUGCCAACAGCUACCCUUAGCUGGCAAAGAGCAUACCUACCCACCUCAGCCACCUAAGCUUCCCUAUUUAGUGCCUAUUUAGUGUGGACUUUGCUCUUAAAAGGGAGUGCAGCCCCAUCUAAGCUCAGUUGUAAAUCUCCUUCCAAAAUAGUCUAUUUCCCUAUCUGUCGUACCUCCAUGUUUUCUAGACUCAGUAUCAUUGCCAUGGGCUGACAUCAUAAAGUAGGACUUUUUAUCAAAGUGUCCUCCCAUUCCUUGCUGUUAACAAUAUUUUGGAUCACAAGAAUGCCUGCCAGGGCAGCUCAUUUCUGCCCUCUGCCAAAGUGGUAGAAGGGCUCCCAGACCCCUUUAGCAGCAGAUACUUUGCUAGCAUGGUCCCACUUACUCAAUUGAGUUUACUUCAGUUUAAGUGAAAUCAUUUGUCAUCAUAGUCUAGAUGAACUGCCCCAAAAUUUCAUCAGCCCAACAAAGGGGCCAAAGUUUUGAUAUAUCAUUUGUGCAUCUCAGUGCAAUGUCUCUUCUCUUAAACUUUUCCUCCCAUCCAAACACAAGAGCUGCUGGUACUGUGCUUCAGUUCUUCUCCAAGUAGCCCUGUUUGUUCACCUAAGCUGUGUAGUGUGUGGAUGAAUGGAACUCAUCUGCAACCAUUCCAGUUAGAGGUAGACAACGUCAUAGGAUGCCUCCAGUGUGCAAAUGUUGCAAUAAUGGAAAGGCAUAGUGGCAUGUGUUUUGUUGCUCUUGCUUGCCAUGCUCGGGAUGGCAUGGGGAUGAGGGACCAGCUCCCUUCUCUUGUGGGGGCCCAAUUAGUGCCAUUGCCUUCCGUUAAGAGUUUGGGUGUAAUCCUUGACGCCUCCCUUUCCAUGGAGGCGCAAGUUACAGCAACAGCCAAGGCGACAUUUUUCCACCUUCGCCGCAUCAAGCAGUUGGUCUCUUACCUUUCCCGCCCUGACCUGGCCACAGUGAUCCAUGCGACGGUCAUCUCCAGGCUUGACUACUGUAAUUCGCUCUACGCGGGGCUGCCCUUGAAGCUGUCCCAGAAACUCCAGCGGGUACAGAAUGCUGCAGCGAGGCUUCUCACGGGGUCUUUGCCAUGGGAGCAUAUUUACCCAGUGCUUUUCAAACUGCACUGGCUCCCGGUGGAGUACAGGGUCAGAUUUAAGGUGCUGCUUUUGACCUUUAAAGCCCUUCACGGCCUAGGACCCUCGUACCUACGGGACCGCCUCUCCUGGUAUGCCCCACGGAGAGCCUCAAGGUCCAUAAAUAACAACACCCUAGUGGUCCCAGGCCCUAAGGAAGUUAGAUUGGCUUCAACCAGAGCCAGGGCCUUUUCAACUCUGGCUCCGGCCUGGUGGAACGCUCUGCCUCAUGAGACCAGGGCCCUGCAGGAUCUGAUUUCUUUCCGCAGGGCCUGUAAGACAGAGUUGUUCCGCCUGGCCUUUGGCUUGGAGCCAAUUUGAUUCCCUCCCUCCCUCUCUUUCUUUUUCUUUUCCUUCUCCUCCUGCAAUGAGGCUACAUUUUAAUAUUUUAAUGUUCCAUUAUUUUAAUGUUGUAUUUUAUUUUUGUUUUUAAGUUGUAAUCAUUCUUCUUGUUUUUAUUAUUGCUUGUAAGCCGCUCUGAGCCCGGCCUUGGCUGGGGAGGGCGGGGUAUAAAUAAAAAAUUAUUAUUAUUAUUAUUACACCUGGAUGAAGGAUUGAGAACAUCCCCAGAAAGCUCCAGUUUGAGAGAACUCUUAUUUCAACUUGCGUAAGAAUGAGAGCAGUUCCCAUUAGCAUCGCCAGGUGCUGCAACUUCCCCUUCAGCCCUCCUUUUAGGCUCCAGUAUUAUCUACAGUCACCUGUCAAUGGGAGUCAGUUCAACAGGCAAAAUGAAACAAAAAUAGCCAGACCUGAUUAAGCUUUGGGGGAGGAGAGAGAGGCUGAGUGGAGACUCAACCCUGGUGAAAAAGGACACAGCAGCAGGAGUAGUUGGAGAAGAAUAAAUACCCAACAUGAAAGAGCCAUUUAAACUCCAGCAGAGCUAGAGUUUAUCAGAUUUCAGCAUUCCAUUUGUACUAUAAACCACAAGCCAGUAACAAUACACAGAGAUGCUAACUGUAUAUGUUUACUUGCUAGUCAGCAGUCUGAUCUUCUAAAUAAUAAAUGUGUUUCCAGAGAUAACUUCUCUCUCUUCCCCCAGUUAGUUCUGGUUCCCAUUAACUGUUACCCAUCUGUCCAAGAUCCCAUCCAGUGAGCACAGCAGUGGGAGCUAAGUGAAAAAUAUUCAAGAGACAUGCAUCAUUUUUCAAGAUACUAACUGAAUUUUCCAAAACUAUCAACAAUAAACAGAUCUCCCUCAUUUUGUAUCUGUGUGUGAUGACUACCAAUCAACCUCAUACCUUGCCAGUGUAAUGCAGAUAAGGCACCUUACCUUUGUAGACAGGGAUAUGUAUCAAGGGAUGUUAAUUUGAGUUCGAUGCAUUAGCCUACUCUUAGAGGAGUUUCUGAAAGAAAUCAUAGCCCAUAAACCAAUGUGCUGAGGAAAGGCCACAAUCUAAAUGCAGGUCAUUCAGUUUUAGAAGAUUUUUUUAAAAAAAAUGUUUUAAAAUUGAAACACCUUUUGAAUGUAUUUCCUUUUGAAAGACUUCAUCGGAAUUUAAAAAAUGGUUCUGUGGAAUUCCAGUAAAAUAUGUCUCUGAAGGAUUUUGUAGUGUUUUGAAAUAUUCUUGAGAUCUUCUGUGACUUUCCUCCCCCCCCCUUCCAAAUGUACAUCUUCACUUAGUAUAUAUAACUAGCAGUGUCUCACAAUACUAGGAAAUGAGAAGAAGCAUGAGUCAGCUGUUCUUUCUCUUUUUGGACUUCUUAUGUCACUUGCAAAUGGGGACCUUUUCCCUCAGUUCUCUCAGAGUGAGAAGAAUGAGCUGGGAAUCAGGUAUCUCACCAGAAGAGAUUGCAAAUUUUCUCUUGAUACAUUACAUCAGAAGUGCAAAAAAGAAAGUGCACUCAUUCUUCCUCCUAAAGCAUGGGUAGGCAAACUAAGGCCCAGGGGCUGGAUCUGGCCCAAUUGCCUUCUAAAUCCAGCCCACAGAUGGUCUGGGAAUCAACGUGUUUUUACAUGAGUAGAAUGUGUUGUUUUAUUUAAAAUGCAUCUCUGGGUUAUUUAUGGGGCAUAGGAAUACAUUCAUUCCCCCCCACCAAAAAAUAUAGUCUGGCCCCCCACAAGGUCUGAUGGACAGUGGACUGGCCCCCUGCUGAAAAAAGUUUUCUGACCCCUGUCCUAAAGCCAUCCUGGGAACCAAAAGCAGUGUUUCCAGACAAAUUGAGGAUACAAAUGAAUUCCAGAACCCUGUGUAAUCAUUUAUGCAUCUGUAAGCCAGGGAUGGUGAACAAGUGACCCCCUAGCAAUUGUUGAACUUCAGUCACAGCCAGCAUGGCUGAUGGUCAGAGAUGACGGGAGAGGUAGUUCAACAACCUCUGGAGGGCCACAGCUUCCACAGCCCUGCUGUAAACAAUUUUCAGAUCUGGUGACCAUCUUGAAGGGAUUUCAUAAGGAAUCAAUGUAGAGAGCUCCCUCCAUAACAUUUCAAGGCUCUGUGGUACAUCUGUAUCCUUACCUCAGAUGCAGGCAGGGAGAGAAUCUGCUUAGAUGCUGUGUUCAGCUCCUAUUAGCAACAAACACAGCAUCAGGAAAAUUUGAAGAACAUAACGCAAUUCAUCUCAUCUAGUCAUUUGAGACUGCCAUUGUUUUUCAACAUAUGGAAUCAAUCAGGUCACGUAACUGAAACACAGUUUGUUUUCAAUGUGGUUAAUGCUUAGGUGUCUGUGUUUGUCUAUUGUUUUUGACCAGAAUUUCUCUUUUAUGUUGUCUGUGUUUUGCCUUCUUGUCUGUGUAUUUCCCCCCUUCACAGAUGAAACCUGAUGAGGGUCUGAGUCUGAAAAAUACAUUUAUACCAAUAAACAAGCAGAAGUGUGGACACUUUAAACCUUCCAUAUCUUUUGUUUUGUCUUGUUACAAGGCAUGUGGUGCUUCAGAGAAGUCAGUAACAUUUUUAAACCAACUUUUCAUAUGGUUGUUUUUUUAAAACCAUGUUGUUGGCCAAAAAUGGACGCUUUUUUAAUAGGACACUAUAAAAUUGGGGAGGGGGAGAUACCAAAAUACACUUGACAACUUGUUCAUAAGUAAAAAGGGAACUUUGGUACCUGACAGUUUUAAUUCUCCAAAAUUUAGUACCAUUUCUGAAAAGUAAAAAUAGUUGGCGUUUCAAAAUUUGCUGUCAACAUUCUGCUUAGAUAAUGUCCCAGUGAUCUUGGAACAAGAUAUUGGAAGGUUUACAGGGACCGUACUUUGCACAAACAGUUUCUGAAAUGGUGCUUUUGUUUUGAAAUGUUCAAAACACUUUCUAGAUUUAUUGUGAGCAUGAUAUAGGUCUUGUCCACAAGCUUUCAUUGUGCCUGACAGCAGGAUGGGGGUUAUUUACAGCCAAGUAUGUUCAGACAGCACUGGCAGCCGAAUCCACCGAGCAGCUCCUACCAAGCCUUGUUAAAAUGGAUGGGGGCCCUGACGAUGCCAUGCUCGGUGGAUUCCUUUCCAGUGUUGUGCUACAAGGAAUCUAUAUUCUCAUUUGAUGUUUCGUUCUGUAACUGCACUAAUAUCAAAAAUAAUAAUAGAGAGGACCCAAAUCUUGUGGAAUUAAUCUGGUGGGAUUUCUAAUAAUGAUCCAGUUGAGUACCGUAAGGAAGAUUUGAGGUGGCAUGAGAAAGGGCUUCUAUUUAAUUUGUCCCAUUCCUGGAACUGAAUUGCUGCAGCAGUCUGGUAAGACUGUUGGACUGCAUAGCCUACAUGUACCCACUCAACACUACCCUAAACAUUUUCUCAUCCUCUUCCUCCUCCUUUAUACUUGACACACUGGAGUUCUGUAUUAUAUUUUUUUUUAAGAUGGUUGUCUGGUUUUUGUUGUUUUUACAAGUGUUGUGGGGGGGAAUGUAAGAAAGCUGAAGUAUUUAAAAAAAUGUUCCAAGGGGGAAAAAGGUUUUUGUUAUUCUAAUAUAUUAUUGUGUACCUAUUGUAAAUAUGAAACACUCCUAUUUUGCAAUCCAAGGACUCACUUUGUACUGUUGUUAUAUAUAAAUAAAGUUUACUGGAU